Molecule: RNA transcript, 481 nt
Organism: Camelina sativa (false flax)
Lineage: Eukaryota; Viridiplantae; Streptophyta; Magnoliopsida; Brassicales; Brassicaceae
Source: RefSeq, a predicted model, not a curated record
UUGACGGAAGAACCAGACUGAAACCCUAGUUUUCAGAGCAAUGACGCCGAAUCUGAGAUCUGUCGUUGCACAGGGCUGGAGAUCGAUUCACUCUCGCCGCAAUUUCUCUUCCUCAUCGUCUGGUAGCACCAACGAGUCUAAGAGCGGAGGCAGGACGGUUUUAUCAUGGCUCACCACUAAUGGUAGUGGUUUAGCAAAACGAGGUCUUUACCUGAUGGGGGGAUAUUUGUUUGGUAUGGAGGAUCCUGAGAGAGCGAGAGUGUGGUGGUAACAAAACAUCCCCUCAGGGAUCUUUUAGGAGAAGAUGAGAUAGAAGAGUUUUUAAGAAAGUGCAGAGUGCCAGAGAGUAGAUUUGAGGAAUCCGAUGGGGGCCGUCCGUAGCUGGAUGCUUGUGUUGGAAUUUUUCUAAUAAUCUGUAAGCUAAUUUGUAUUUCGUGGACCAGUCAGACGUUAUAAAUUAUGGAGUUGCCUUUCGAAUUUA